CUUGGUCAUUUAGAGGAAGUAAAAGUCGUAACAAGGUAUCUGUAGGUGAACCUGCAGAUGGAUCAUUUCGAUGAAAACCUUUUUCUUGAGGUGUGGCUCGCACCUGUCUAAAUAAACUUGAGCUACCCAAUUUCAACACGGUUGCAUCGGUUGGCUGUCAGACAGCGCGGACAGAGAUUUUUUUUUUUUUUUUUUCUCUGCUCGCUGCUGGGAAGGCGUUCGACACAAUACACAAACACUUUUGAUGAUCUAGGAUUUGAAUGAAAGUUCAUUUUUAUGAUGGAACCGACUGGUAAUGCGGUCGUCUAAAUCUAAAAAACAACUUUUGGCAACGGAUCUCUUGGUUCUCCCAUCGAUGAAGAACGCAGCGAAUUGCGAUAAGUAAUGUGAAUUGCAGAAGUGAAUCAUCGAAUCUUUGAACGCACCUUGCGCUCCCGGCAGAUCUAAUCUGGGGAGCAUGCCUGUUUGAGGGCCGCGAAUUGUUUCGAACGACAGCUUUCUUCUUUGCAAGAGAGUUGGCGGAUCGGUAAUGAGGGUUUUUGCCAUUUACCGUGGCUCCCUCGAAAUGCAUUAGCGCAUCCAUUCAAUAGGCAAGACGGACGAAAGCUUGAAUUUCGCCCUCUCUUUCCUGCCGGGUUUUGAUAAUAUCAGGGCUUCGGAGGCAGAGAGAUGGGUUAGAGCUGGACGCAACGUUUUGCUGGUUGGAGUGCUUCUGAAACCCGCCCAUGCCCUUGCAAAAGGGAAGGGAUUUUAUUUCAAUUCAUCGGCCUCAGAUUGGUAGGACUACCCGCUGAACUUAAGCAUAUCAAUAAGCGGAGGA
This 820-nucleotide ribosomal RNA is filed under the name uncultured Ustilago. RNAcentral describes it as "eukaryotic LSU rRNA". The stretch from base 321 to 475 matches the Rfam family "5.8S ribosomal RNA". Lineage: Eukaryota; Fungi; Basidiomycota; Ustilaginomycetes; Ustilaginales; Ustilaginaceae. The record is from RNAcentral.